CACUAUGAUGAAAUAAUGACUGCGUUCUUUCCGAGUUGACCUUUGAAGACACACAUCACUUUGGAGAACUGACAA
This 75-nucleotide small nucleolar RNA is filed under the name Clohesyomyces aquaticus. RNAcentral describes it as "A. fumigatus snoRNA Afu_294". It matches the Rfam family "A. fumigatus snoRNA Afu_294". Lineage: Eukaryota; Fungi; Ascomycota; Dothideomycetes; Pleosporales; Lindgomycetaceae. The record is from Rfam by way of RNAcentral.